CGCGGAUGACACCCAGACUGUCCUCAACCGCCUCUGAUGUCACUGACUGACGCCACCUGUCUGAGC
This 66-nucleotide small nucleolar RNA is filed under the name Euglena gracilis. RNAcentral describes it as "Eg-m69 box C/D methylation-guide snoRNA". The record is from RNAcentral. Lineage: Eukaryota; Euglenozoa; Euglenophyceae; Euglenales; Euglenaceae.